RNAcentral lists this ribosomal RNA (1353 nucleotides) under Triticum aestivum (bread wheat). RNAcentral describes it as "partial small subunit ribosomal RNA". Lineage: Eukaryota; Viridiplantae; Streptophyta; Magnoliopsida; Poales; Poaceae. The record is from RNAcentral.
AUGAUGGCAGGAGGACUAGAUCAGCUAGUGGUGCUCUGGAAAGAGUGGGGGAUCCAAGUGCUGGUGCUGCUGAGUUUAGCACUGCAGGUGAUUCUCCUCAUCACGGCGGAGAUCCGCCCGUGCAAAGAUUCCGGCGUGUUAAGAGUCGUCGUGUGGUCAGCAUACCUACUGGCUGACACGACGGCGAUAUACACUCUGGGCCAUAUGUCGGUGAGCAGCACCAGCAGGUCGCCGCCGGAGCACGAGCUGGUGGCGUUGUGGGCUCCGUUCCUGCUACUGCACCUUGGUGGCCAGGACAACAUCACAGCCUACUCCAUGGAGGACAACCGGCUGUGGUUGCGCCACCUGCAGAGCUUCGUUGUGCAGGUCCUCGCGGUCGCUUAUGUCCUCUACCAGUCAUCCAUCUUUGCAGAUGGCCGACAGACCAUGCUUGGCCAGGUCACCAUCCUCAUGUUCGUGGUUGGUGUUGUCAAGUAUGGGGAGAGAGUAUGGGCAGUCAAGUGCGCCAGCAGCAGUUACCUGUCCGGGAAGAACUACCAGAGUUUUGGCAAGGUGCGUAUUAAUGGUUAUGGCAGCAUCUUUGAGAGGCAGACGGAAGAAUUUCUAGCUCAUCUACUGUUGAACAUUCCCAAGCAUCUACUUAAGGGGCCGUUACCUGUUGUGGCAGUUGAGAUGGUUGUAGGUUGUGGCUGGGAGCUUAUGUACGAUGUAGCCGAGAUCCAACUCUCGCUGAUGUACGAUGUCUUCUACGGCAAGACUGAGUUGAUCCACAGUUGGUACGGGUACUGCAUCCGUGUCGCCUCGCUGCUGGUCACUGUCACCGCAUUGAUGUGGUUUUGUCAAGCUGGUGAGAAAGAUGGUUUCAGCAGAGUAGAUGUAACUGCCACUUACGUCUUGCUAGUUGGAGCCGUCAUCCUGGAGAUCAUAUCCUUGCUGAGGGCCAUGCUCUCCAGCUGGAUAUUGCAGCAAAUGAUCCCAUUUAGUACUGAUGAUCGCUCUACCUCUGGUGUUAGUGCUGCAUUAAUGUCUUUGUUUUGUCCUGCAUAUCUAUCUAGGCUGCUCUUCAUAUGUGCAAUAAGGAAAGUAGGAAUACAGACAAGGCACUGGUCGGGCUCCAUGGGGCAACACAACUUGAUUUACAUGUGCAGCCACUGCAAGGACAGCCGAAGCAGCAAAAUCGCGAGAUGGAUGGGACGGGAGGACUGGUGGAACACACUGGUCUACACGUCGUCAUCUGUCCCCGUCUCGGAAGAUUUCAGUCAGCUGUUGAAGAAACAAUUGACAGCAAGUGUGGACAUCAACAAAGAGGACCCAGAUCACAUCCAAAACUCAAGGGGGCGGGCAGCACUGAAG